RNAcentral lists this long non-coding RNA (3537 nucleotides) under Homo sapiens (human). Its description in RNAcentral is "HSALNT0353656". Lineage: Eukaryota; Metazoa; Chordata; Mammalia; Primates; Hominidae. The record is from RNAcentral.
ACCGCCGUCCGAGCGCCCGCGAGGGCUGGCGCCCCAUUCCCGGCGCAACGAGUGUUGCGCAACGGCCCACGCGGCCGACACGACCGGAGCGAGCCUGCGGAGGAGCCCGGGAGCCCCCCGUCCCACCGCCCCGUCCGCUCUUGGCUCCCUUCACCCUCCCGGUCGCCGCGGUGGCUCUGCGCUCCCCGCGACCCUCACUUGCUCGCAGAGGCGCUUUUUGUCUUCCUGAGAGCCGCAGCCUGCUGGGCUACCUGUUGCCGACUGAGCACUGCGGGUUGCGGCUACCCGGGCGUGGCCCGGACCUCGGCCUCCCCUUCCCCGCACACUCCCGAGAGGAGCCCUCUACCUUGGGGUGGGCAGGAGGGAAGGCGGGGGGUGGCGGCUGGCAAGCUGCCAACACUCGGGGCGCGCUGCGGCGGGGAAGGGGUUGGCGCGGCCGGGCAGCUGCGCAGGGCUGCGCGGCGGAGGCAGCGAUUAAAAUGUCCCGGCGCCUCUCCCGAGAGCCGCGACGGCCCGGAGCCGGGAGGGAAAGCUCCACGCACAAACACCGCCCCCUGCACAAUUAGGGCGAAGAUGACGGCUGCAAAGUUGUUGCGUAACACGACUGGGAAACGAGGCUCGCUGAGGUCCAUCUACCCACCCCCGCCACGCGGGUGCGGCGUUCCUCGGAGGAUGUGAAGGUCCGCGCUCGGGUGCCCCCGCUGGGACGCCCACUGUCGUUUGGUGCUGGGGCUUGAGACGACCGCGCGGGAUCUCUUCCUGUGAUUUUGAGCUGAUAGCUGCUUAGUGUUAUUUCUGCGUCUAACUGGAUACGGUAGUCUUCUCUCCCAAAUUCCCGGGCUACGGAAGAGACGUAAAAAAAUGGAAAAAAGAGCACCUAGCCGCGACUUCUUAAGUCGUCGCGCUAGACUGUCAAGGCACGUGGCACACUCCCUGCGUUUACCGAUACACGGAUAGUGGUCAGUGCUGGCCUUGGCGAAGGGAGCCAUGUUCCCGACAGUGACUCACAGGCUUGCCCAAAUACGGAGUGUGGCAGGUGGGCAGGACCUCCACCAGCCAGCUCCCUCCUGGUCUCCUUGAACUACGUGGGGGCUGGGCCGAGUGCCUCCACGACUUUCCACUUCUUUUUGCUCCUUUCGUUUUUAAAAAGCAAAAACCAAAGUAAAGAGAAGAGCAGAGUGAACACCCAGGUACCAUCCCUAGUGUCUGCCAUGAGCAGCAGAUCUAUCUACUCGCCAAGAUUGUCUUUUCUACCUUUCCCCUUCUUGCACAGUUAAUAUCAUAAUAACGCAAGUCAUAUUUAAAAAAUUUUUAUCACCUAUCAGUUGAGUUUUUGGAAAGCCUUCCAGGGCAGCGUUGUGGUUUUGAACGCACUCUUGUUCGUGAUUUAUCUGGUAGUACAGCUCUGCUGACAAGGCUCUGAAAACUCAGACGUACAAUAUGGGCUUAGCGUGUUCCCCGACACCAUCUUCCCGGUGCUGACUAAUGCAAGAACCACAUCCCCUCCACUACACAUUUUCCAAACUUGACUACCUUCAUGAGAACAAAUCCUGAUUUUAGUUUAUAAUUUCCACUUUUCUCAUACAUAUAUAAUAAUUCAAGAUGUGGUCUUACUAUGUUGUCCAGGUUGGCCUGGAACUCCUGGGCUCAAAGGAUCCUCCGGCCACAGCCUCCCUGGUAGUGGAAUUACAGGCGCAUGCCACUGUGCCUGGCCACUUUUCUCAAAUUUACUGAUAGUUUCCUUUUUGCCCAAACCUUACAAUGCUUAUUUGUAGCUUUGAGAACCUCUCUUAGAUGAAAUCAAAAUCAUAUCCAUAUUAGUUGCCUUUUUGGGGUCAGAAAUGCAGCUAUUGUCUAGAAAUCCAGGGCUGUCCUGCAUAAUCUACCCUCCCCUUCACGUGUUCUGACCUUGUUCUGCAUUUUGAAUAAUUUCAUGGAAUUUCAAAGCCGUUGUAGUAAAUGUCUUUCUUUAAAGACAACUCGACCUUCAAGACAGGUAAAGAACGUGCCUGGAGCCACCCCAGGCAGUGAUGCUGGAGGAGUUCUCUCAACCUGGAAACUUAUUCUUUAUGCUGAAUUUUGAAAUCGAAUGCUCCUAUAUUUACUUGGAGUAUUUUAGAUUGUGUAUGUAUUAUAUCUGUGCAUCAUUCAUUGUUACCAUCUAACUUGGAAAUCAGAGGAAGUGUGAAAGGUAUCUGAGAUACCAGCUUAGAAAACAACUCUUUAGCUCCUCCUGGUGAUUAGGACACCACUAAACAACAGGAUGAAGGAUCUGUCCCCAGGGCCGAAGUGAUGAUGUAUCUAAUAUUAUAUCCUAGAACAUUCACAGAGUAGGUAAGUAUUUGCAGAUUAACUCGAGUAAAUGGAGCAUAAAAACCUAAGAUAUUUGAAACAAAUUAACCAGGGUGGGGAGGCUUCUAGGAAGACAUCAGCAUGUGCCUGAUGGUGGAGCUGGGCUGUAAGGUUCUCAGGAGGAGGAGGAAGGGGUUCUUGCUCUCAGCAACCUCUCAGUGCUAGGGGUGGAUUGAGGGCAGGGGCAAGGGAGGAGGUGCCUGGACAGGGAUGAGAACUACCAGCAGAAGACAAUCAACCACAUUCUAAUUCAUUUUAUUAUACUGCCAACAUGGUUUCUGACUAAGCAAAUAUAAGAGCUAUAGCUUGAGAACAGAAUGACUAAAACAGUGACUUCUCCUUACUAAAAUGGGAAUUAAUAGGAAUUUGUAAUUUAGUAACAACUUAAUUUAAUAUAGUAAUAAUUUUUCUACAGCUGCAGAAUGUCUUGAGCUGGAACAUCCCCAAGAGGCCAUAUAUAUAUCCCAGGGAUUUUACAGUGGACCUCACUAGGCCGGAGUAACUGUAAAGUCAGAUGGAUAAUGAGAAUUCAGGACGUUAGCCACACGUGGACUGUGGCAAAAAGAAAGUGACCCACUGAAGAAGACUGUUUUUCAGCUCUCUCAUCAAUUGCUGUUUCCAGGAGCCCACAGCUCCAAUUACUCAAAAGAACGUUGACUUUUUUUUUUUUGGUAAAAUAUCCUGAUUUUCAGGUUAGGCAAGCAAUUCAUUAAAAAAUAAAAGACUGCACAGCCCACAGCUCCAAUUAUUCAAAAGAAAGUUGACUUUCUUUUUUUUGGUAAAAUAUCCUGAUUUUCAGUUUAGGCAAGCAAUUCAUUAAAAAAUAAAAGACUGCAGGACUUACCUACCCAGAGGCUGGACAGUCUGAGUCCUCUGAGUUCUACAGAGAUGUCCUGGGAACAGGGGGUGGAGACGGGGGACUCAGUGGCUAAAAAGCAGGCUGCCUACCUGGCAACCAAAUUGGGCAGCUCUACCCUAUCUGUUUUGUGCAUUGGACUUAUGGAUUUCUUUGUAGAAAAAACUUCGAUAACUAAAAGCCCUUUGGUGACCUCCUGUCUGGUCUGGUGGCCGGCAGCCUGCAUCAGGGCUCCUGUGUGCCAGGACCAUUUUCUUUCCACUGUAGUAUGUUUAUGGACCACCUUGUGUCUUUUUAUUAAACUCCAGGAACAGAAGUUCAGUUUCUGG